UACAGAGGCGGUGCGUAGCUGGCCCCGCCCUUUGCUGGAUGGAGCACUCAGGAGAGCUGGCCCCAUCUCUCACUGGCAGCAGUACUUGAGAAAGCGCUUCCCCCAGGCAGCACAGUGGAGCUGGUCCUGGCAGCAGGCAUGUGGUUGGGAAAGCUGCCCACAGGGUCAUGAGCUCAGGAAAACUAGCCCUGCCCCUCACAAGAUGCAUCGGUCUGGAGAGCAGACCCUACGCCUCGCCUGGGGAGCACGGUGGAGGGGGCCACAGGUGAGCCUGCCCCAAGGGGGAGAGCCUUGGGGAGCUGGCCCUGCCACUCCUCUGUCAUGGGGCAGGGGAUAUGCUCUCUGCCCUCUUGGCCUUUGCCACCUGAGGCAGCUGGGAGAGCUGAUCCUGGAAGUGGGUGAGCUGCCCCUGUCCAGGAGCACUCGGGAGAGAGUGCAUCUCGCCUGGGCAAUACAGUGUGUCCCUGAUGGUGAAGACAUGGAUGAACUAGGGCCAAGAGCGUGGGAGGAAAGCUAACCCAGCCUCUCACAGGCUGCCCUUGGAAAAGCGGGCCUCAAACCUUGACUGGGCACCACUGUGGAGCUGGCUCUGGAGGUACGGGUGCAGGUAAGCCAGCCCUGAGGGCAUGAGAGCGGGAGGGCUGACCCUGCUUCCUGCCAAUGGUGGCAAUGGCGGGCCUAUCCACAACAGUGCUGGAGUGCUGGUGUAGAUAAGGAAGAGCCAGCAAGCUAACCAGCUCAGCCACCACCCAGGCCCAGAUCCAGGGCUCUGAAUUGGCCCACCACAAAAUCUAUAUCAUCUGCGAAUGUUUGAGAUGUGUGAAAGGGCUAAUCCUGUGCCAAAGCUGCAGGAUCUCCCUGACACAGGAGAAAUCCCAGCGAGCAUCCGACAUUGAUGGUCACAGAAGUCAGAGAAUGAACCAGACCAAUGACUCACUGCAACGAACAUUUGCAAGUGAAGAUGUGUGGACAGAGGGAGAUACUGCAAGACACAGUGACCUAGUACAGCUUCCACAAUGAGAUAUUGUCUAUGCUUUGUUGUUGUUGUUCAUUUGUUUGCUUGUGUGUUUCAUUGGGUGGUUGCAAGGGCAGAGGGAGGAUGAGAGGACUGGGGUGUAUGAUGUGAGACUCACAAAGAAUCAAUAAAAAGUUUGUGUCUUUUUUUUUUUUAAGAAAGUCGGGAGGUUAGCUGAGGAUAUGGCUGAAUUGAAUAAUGUUUCUAGGACGUGUGAAAGAAGCUGGACUUAAUUAUCAGUACUGUUAAAGAAGAAGAAGAAGAAGAAGAAGAAGAAGAAGAAGAAGAAGAAGAAGAAGAAGAAGGAAUGAAAGGAAAGGAAAAAGCUGGGGAUGAGGCUCAGUGAUCAAGCACUUACCUGACAUAUCAGAGGCCCUGAGUUCAACACGCAGAACAAACACCCUGCCUUGGUUUUCUUUCUGUUGCUGUGAUAAAACACCAUGAUCAAAAGCAACUUGGGGAGAAAAGGGCUUAUUUCAUCUUACAGCUUACAGCCUGUCAUGAAAGGGAAGUCAGAGAAGGGGCCCAAAGCUGGAACCAAAGAAGAAGCUAUGGAGGAACCCUGCUUACUGGCUUGUUCCCUCUAGCUUUCCCAGCCUGCUCUCUUAUACCACUCAAGACCACCUGUCCUUUCACGUCAAUCAAGAACAUUCCCUCAGACAUCCCGCAGACCAAUCAGAUGCAGGCAUUUUCUCAGUCGAGGGUCCUUUUCCCAGAUAACUCAAGCUUGUGCUCUAUUAACAAGAUACUGACCAGUAUGCUUCCCGCUCAUACCCUCAGAAUUAAGCUGCAUGUCUGCCUGUAGUCCCAGGUAUUGGGGAGGAUGAGACAGGGAAUUCCCUUAAACCAGGAGUUCAAGAUCAGCCUGGGCAAAGGAGCAAGACCCAGCUCAAAAAUAACAGCAGGGCUGGAAAGAUGGCUCAGGCGAGGCUCAGCACCAGGGUGUUAAAAGUAACAGCAGCACCACAAUAAAGACAGAAAGUGGUUAGAGACAGGCAGAAAAGAAUGAUUCUUCCAUGGGGAGGAGGCAGAGAGAAGAGUCCUACAAAUUUCCAGGAACACCUGGGCCUGGGGCUUGGGAAGGCAGAAGGACCCCCUCUGGAGUCCUCUUCAGAAGCAUGAUCCUGCCACAUCUUGAUGCUUAAUUUAACAAGAAUCUGCUGAGGAAAUUGGCACAGCUCCUAAUGUUCACAGGCUCACUUAAAGGCAAGGACGUGGGGCUGCCCCCAGUAUCUGUUUGCACAUUGGAAUGGCAAAGGUGAAUUCCUGCAAAGUCUGGUGUUUGCUGAAGGGUUUGUCCAUGCGGGUCAGAGGGUCAGAGGGCAUUACCUGCUCCAGGAAAAUGUGGCACCAUCCCAUGGGCUAGAAUCCAGGACCGGACAAAAAGGAGAAAGCAAGUUGACUACUAGACCAGCACUCAUCUCUGUUUUUCCACACUGACAGAGUGUGACCGGACGUCUCACCCCCUGCCAUCACGCCUUCCCUUCCAUGACAGACUGUACCCCCAGAAGCCAUGAGCCAAAGCAAACCGUUGGGGCUGAUCUGGGGCUACUGCGUGUUCAAAUGUUAACUGCUCGUCCCCCAGGAUCCUUACUGUUUUAUGAGCAAAUUUUCAUGUAUCUAAACUGACGUUUUGAAAACUUUGCCUCCCAAAUUAUCCCUGAUUGGCUAAAUAAAGUUGCCUCUAGCCUGGACUGGGCAGAAGAGAGGUAGGCAGGUUCACAGGCUUGGAGGUGGCAGAAGGACCAAGAAGAGGGGGAGGAAGGAAGAGGAGAGGAGCAGGUCGCCAUGGGUUAGCAUGUGGUUGGAAGGAACUUACUCUGAGGACCGGCACGAUGGAGAAAAAUGAAAAACAUGUGCAAGUAUUUAUGGGGGUUUCAGCUGGGAAGUAGACAAGAUAGCUUAGAAGGUUAAUAUCUGUCCAGCCCCAGUGUAUUAAGGCCUAUUAAAAAUCUAA
Molecule: long non-coding RNA, 2972 nt
Organism: Meriones unguiculatus (Mongolian gerbil)
Lineage: Eukaryota; Metazoa; Chordata; Mammalia; Rodentia; Muridae
Exons: 2
Source: RefSeq, a predicted model, not a curated record